Mustela putorius furo (domestic ferret) is the source of this 106-nucleotide small nuclear RNA. NCBI's taxonomy places the organism in Eukaryota, Metazoa, Chordata, Mammalia, Carnivora, Mustelidae. The record is from Ensembl.
GUGCUCCCUUCUGCAGCACAAGUACUAAAAUUGGAAAGAUACAGAGAAGAUGGGCAUGGCCCCACACAAAGAUGACAGGCACCUUCAUGAAGCAUUCCUUAUUUUU